RNAcentral lists this ribosomal RNA (585 nucleotides) under uncultured bacterium. RNAcentral describes it as "bacterial SSU rRNA". It matches the Rfam family "Bacterial small subunit ribosomal RNA", at positions 224 to 801 of the family's 1533-position model. The record is from RNAcentral.
GAUGGACCCGCGCCGUAUUAGCUAGUUGGUAAGGUAACGGCUUACCAAGGCGACGAUACGUAGCCGACCUGAGAGGGUGAUCGGCCACACUGGAACUGAGACACGGUCCAGACUCCUACGGGAGGCAGCAGUAGGGAAUCUUCCGCAAUGGGCGAAAGCCUGACGGAGCAACGCCGCGUGAGUGAUGAAGGGUUUCGGCUCGUAAAACUCUGUUAUUAGGGAAGAACAAAUGUGUAAGUAACUGUGCACAUCUUGACGGUACCUAAUCAGAAAGCCACGGCUAACUACGUGCCAGCAGCCGCGGUAAUACGUAGGUGGCAAGCGUUAUCCGGAAUUAUUGGGCGUAAAGCGCGCGUAGGCGGUUUCUUAAGUCUGAUGUGAAAGCCCACGGCUCAACCGUGGAGGGUCAUUGGAAACUGGGAAACUUGAGUGCAGAAGAGGAAAGUGGAAUUCCAUGUGUAGCGGUGAAAUGCGCAGAGAUAUGGAGGAACACCAGUGGCGAAGGCGACUUUCUGGUCUGUAACUGACGCUGAUGUGCGAAAGCGUGGGGAUCAAACAGGAUUAGAUACCCUGGUAGUCCACGCC